This 253-nucleotide ribosomal RNA is filed under the name uncultured bacterium. RNAcentral's name for it is "partial 16S ribosomal RNA". It matches the Rfam family "Bacterial small subunit ribosomal RNA", at positions 524 to 776 of the family's 1533-position model. The record is from RNAcentral.
UACGGAGGGUGCAAGCGUUAUUCGGAAUUACUGGGCGUAAAGCGCACGUAGGCCGCUUUGUAAGUCAGGGGUGAAAUCCCACGGCUCAACCGUGGAACUGCCUUUGAAACUGCAGAGCUUGAAUCCUGGAGAGGGUGGCGGAAUUCCUGGUGUAGGAGUGAAAUCCGUAGAUAUCAGGAGGAACACCGGUGGCGAAGGCGGCCACCUGGACAGGCAUUGACGCUGAGGUGCGAAAGUGUGGGGAGCAAACAGG